UGAUUCAGCAUAAAUCAAACAAUCGCUAC
This 29-nucleotide small RNA is filed under the name Bombyx mori (domestic silkworm). RNAcentral's name for it is "ovarian small RNA-33053". The record is from RNAcentral. Lineage: Eukaryota; Metazoa; Arthropoda; Insecta; Lepidoptera; Bombycidae.